UACGGAGGGUGCAAGCGUUGUUCGGAAUUACUGGGCGUAAAGAGCACGUAGGCGGGUUCAUAAGCUAGCUGUGAAAGCCCUGGGCUUAACCUGGGAAUUGCAGUUAGAACUGUGAAUCUUGAAUGCUUGAGAGGUUGGGGAAAUUCCUGGUGUAGAAGUGAAAUUCGUAGAUAUCAGGAGGAACACCGGAGGCGAAGGCGCCUGACUGGCAUUGCAUUGACGCUGAGGUGCGAAAGCGCGGGUAGCAAACAGG
RNAcentral lists this ribosomal RNA (253 nucleotides) under uncultured bacterium. RNAcentral's name for it is "partial 16S ribosomal RNA". It matches the Rfam family "Bacterial small subunit ribosomal RNA", at positions 524 to 776 of the family's 1533-position model. The record is from RNAcentral.